CUAGUCUCGUUCCGCCAUGGUCUCCAGGCGGCUCUGCGGCCGCGCUGGGGCUAAGAGGGAAGCCGGUGCGAGUCCGGCGCUGCCCCCGCAACUGUCAGCGGCGAGCCGACCGCCCCCAUGUGUCACUGGGACCGACCGGUCCUGGGAAGACCGGCGGAAGGCGAUGACCCGCGAGCCAGGAGACCUGCCAUGGCAGAUAACGUCCA
Molecule: non-coding RNA, 206 nt
Filed under: Rhodospirillum centenum
Lineage: Bacteria; Pseudomonadati; Pseudomonadota; Alphaproteobacteria; Rhodospirillales; Rhodospirillaceae
Also listed under: 1 other name
Source: RNAcentral